RNAcentral lists this small RNA (551 nucleotides) under Pan troglodytes (chimpanzee). Its description in RNAcentral is "processed transcript". Lineage: Eukaryota; Metazoa; Chordata; Mammalia; Primates; Hominidae. The record is from RNAcentral.
ACUUGGCUCUCUGGCAGGAGCUUGAGGACGCAAGGAGGGUUUGUCACUGGCAGACUCGAGACUGUAGGCACUGCCAUGGCCCCUGUGCUCAGUAAGGACUCGGCGGACAUCGAGAGUAUCCUGGCUUUAAAUCCUCGAACACAAACUCAUGCGACUCUGCGUUCCACUUCGGCCAAGAAAUUAGACAAGAAACAUUGGAAAAGAAAUCCUGAUAAGAACUGCUUUAAAUCUGCAGGGACCUGUGCCUGGGCUUAGGGCCUCUGGCAGCACUACCGUCACCUGUCAUAGCAGUUCCAGGACCAGCUUGACACAGAGCGCCAUGGCCAACAACACGUUCUCUGUGACUCCUGAGGCCACUGCUGAGCUAUCUCAGGUCGCCAGAAGCCUGCUUACCACUAUGAACUUUCGAGAACACACGUAUACAAUUCUUCUCUGAACCGAACAAGUGCCUGGCAAUGAGGACAGACCUCAGUGGAGGUGGGGAAGGGGAAGCAAACAGUAGAACACAGCUUUCCCACCUUCUUCACAUCCUGACACUCAGAGACUAUAAU